AGCUUUGCGCAGAGGCGGUGUCGUACCCAAUGAGGUUUUAACCGAGGGGCGACUAUUGCUAGUUGAAAACUUUUCCCAAUACCCCGCCGGGACGUCGUGAAAUACCGACGGCCAUGGCAAUUUUUCGCAAGCCCUACGGGGC
Non-coding RNA from Ixodes scapularis (black-legged tick), 142 nucleotides. NCBI's taxonomy places the organism in Eukaryota, Metazoa, Arthropoda, Arachnida, Ixodida, Ixodidae. The record is from Rfam.